Molecule: long non-coding RNA, 368 nt
Organism: Homo sapiens (human)
Lineage: Eukaryota; Metazoa; Chordata; Mammalia; Primates; Hominidae
Exons: 2
Source: RefSeq, a predicted model, not a curated record
UUAUUUUUCCCCACUGCUGCAUGUGGCCAGGGAUUUUUAUCUGUUUUAUUUGCUGCUACAUUUUGGCAUCAGAAUCACACCUGAUAUACAAAAAAUAUUUCUGUGGCCUUCUCUGCUUCACCUCCUCCAUUUAACUUCUCAGUAGGAGUUCUUCAGAAAAGUUGAUGAGACUGAAUGAGUGAAUGGAAAAGAACCCAUUGGCUGAGAGUCAAAGAAGGAUGGUUUGCCAUUCCAGCUGCUCCAACUAAGACUUCCGAGGUUCAGUCUAGAGAGAAAUCAAGUCCUGUGUUUCCCGGGUUCACCUUGAACAAGUCACCACUUUAUCCCUCCACAUCACUCUCGUUUUAGCAAUAAAAUAUCAAGUAAAA